AGGGUUUGGAUCCUGGGCUCAGAUUGAACGCUGGCGGCACGCUUAACACAUGCAAGUCGAACGGCAGCAUGAUCUAGCUUGCUAGAUUGAUGGCGAGUGGCGGACGGGUGAGUAAUGCGUAGGAAUCUACCUUAGUGAGGGGGACAACUCGGGGAAACCCGAGCUAAUACCGCAUAAUUUCUUAGGAAAAAAGGCGCCUUAGGGUGUCGCACUAAGAUGAGCCUACGUCGGAUUAGCUAGUUGGUGGGGUAAAAGCCUACCAAGGCGACGAUCCGUAGCUGGUCUGAGAGGAUGAUCAGCCACACUGGGACUGAGACACGGCCCAGACUCCUACGGGAGGCAGCAGUGGGAAUAUUGGACAAUGGGGGCAACCCUGAUCCAGCGAUGCCGCGUGUGUGAAGAAGGCCUGCGGGUUGUAAAGCACUUUAGGUGGUGAGGAAGAGCUUGUUGUGAAUAGCAAUGAGUGAUGACGUUAGCCACAGAAUAAGCACCGGCUAACUCUGUGCCAGCAGCCGCGGUAAUACAGAGGGUGCAAGCGUUAAUCGGAAUUACUGGGCGUAAAGGGUGCGUAGGCGGUAAAUCAAGUCAGUUGUGAAAGGCCAGGGCUUAACCUUGGAACUGCAAUUGAAACUGGUUGACUAGAGUCGAGUAGAGGGGAGUGGAAUUUCCGGUGUAGCGGUGAAAUGCGUAGAUAUCGGAAGGAACACCCGUGGCGAAGGCGGCUCCCUGGGACUCAGACUGACG
Molecule: ribosomal RNA, 744 nt
Filed under: uncultured bacterium
Lineage: Bacteria
Description: bacterial SSU rRNA
Rfam family: Bacterial small subunit ribosomal RNA
Source: RNAcentral